RNAcentral lists this ribosomal RNA (435 nucleotides) under uncultured bacterium. RNAcentral's name for it is "partial 16S ribosomal RNA". It matches the Rfam family "Bacterial small subunit ribosomal RNA", at positions 29 to 507 of the family's 1533-position model. The record is from RNAcentral.
AGCGAACGCUGGCGGCAGGCUUAACACAUGCAAGUCGAGCGGGCAUCUUCGGAUGUCAGCGGCAGACGGGUGAGUAACACGUGGGAACGUACCCUUCGGUUCGGAACAACUCUGGGAAACUGGAGCUAAUACCGGAUACGCCCUUAUGGGGAAAGGUUUACUGCCGAAGGAUCGGCCCGCGUCUGAUUAGCUAGUUGGUGGGGUAACGGCCUACCAAGGCGACGAUCAGUAGCUGGUCUGAGAGGAUGAUCAGCCACACUGGGACUGAGACACGGCCCAGACUCCUACGGGAGGCAGCAGUGGGGAAUAUUGGAAAAUGGGCGCAAGCCUGAUCCAGCCAUGCCGCGUGAGUGAUGAAGGCCUUAGGGUUGUAAAGCUCUUUUGUCCGGGACGAUAAUGACGGUACCGGAAGAAUAAGCCCCGGCUAACUUCGUG